UCCCAUUAUAUGUCCUUUUUUUAAGGUGUGUGACCUUCCAGCUACAUUCUGAUGUCUGACCCUCCUCCAGCUGCUUUCUGUCAAGCUUCUGUUUGGCAGAAAGCUCUGUGUGUGGAUUGUAAAGGAAAUAGCAAAGAAAUGAUCCACCAGCAUUCCCAGAUGUUGAGGACAUUACAGCAAAGGAGAUAAUUCCAUCCCACUAUGUACUAUAGAUAAGCAACAGCUUAUCUAAUUGGGACAGAGGCAGCCUGUCCAGAUCCACUGCUUCUAAAUGGUUACACAAGGACCCCUCUUGUGGGGGCCCUGGUACCCCUGUCAGGCCUCUGCUUAAAGAAUUAGAGGAGGAACCAGCCCAUGGAGAACCUUGCACAUAAAACAAGUUAAUUUUAGAUUUAUUAAGUUAUAAAAACUAAGAAUGUUCUUUUUUUCUAGGUUGUUUGAAUGAUGAAUUGUUGAUGGUUUCUAGUCUGUUGUAGAGCGUGAUUCUAUUAUUUCAUGAUUUUUUUUUUCUCUUGUACCAACUAGUAAUGUAUUAUUGUAAU
Molecule: long non-coding RNA, 542 nt
Organism: Melanotaenia boesemani (Boeseman's rainbowfish)
Lineage: Eukaryota; Metazoa; Chordata; Actinopteri; Atheriniformes; Melanotaeniidae
Exons: 3
Source: RefSeq, a predicted model, not a curated record